AGCAAGUUAGCAAAAUAGUGCAUUGAGCUUAGAAUUCAAAUAAAGAAUUAAAUAUUCUACUUGUUA
RNAcentral lists this transfer RNA (66 nucleotides) under Franciscoloa funerei. Its description in RNAcentral is "tRNA-Leu". It matches the Rfam family "tRNA". From Rfam's summary of the family: Transfer RNA (tRNA) molecules are approximately 80 nucleotides in length. Their secondary structure includes four short double-helical elements and three loops (D, anti-codon, and T loops). Further hydrogen bonds mediate the characteristic L-shaped molecular structure. tRNAs have two regions of fundamental functional importance: the anti-codon, which is responsible for specific mRNA codon recognition, and the 3' end, to which the tRNAs corresponding amino acid is attached (by aminoacyl-tRNA synthetases). tRNAs cope with the degeneracy of the genetic code in two manners: having more than one tRNA (with a specific anti-codon) for a particular amino acid; and 'wobble' base-pairing, i.e. permitting non-standard base-pairing at the 3rd anti-codon position. The record is from RNAcentral. Lineage: Eukaryota; Metazoa; Arthropoda; Insecta; Psocodea; Menoponidae.